RNAcentral lists this microRNA precursor (96 nucleotides) under Poecilia formosa (Amazon molly). RNAcentral describes it as "miRNA (ENSPFOG00000021515.1)". The record is from RNAcentral. Lineage: Eukaryota; Metazoa; Chordata; Actinopteri; Cyprinodontiformes; Poeciliidae.
AUCUGCUCUCAGGAGCUGAUUUCAUUUGGGAGCAUAGAUGUUUGUACCCAGUUUCUAGCACCACAUGAAAUCAGUGUUCUGGGAGGCGGACUGCCA